CUGCAACUUGGCACCGGCAGGAAAGAAGACUAACUCAUUGAACAAGCUGCCUGCUUGGAAUCCGGUUGAUGCAGUUUUUAAAACUGCGGGAUCUUCCGUUAGGAAUCCAACUAAUGACAGCCGCCUCCCCCUGAAAUGCAUCUGCAGGGAGCCCCGAUGCCGAUGCCGCAGAAAGGAUCCCCGAGAUCUCCUGGGAGAAAGACCUUCGUGGCCUUUGCAGCCAACAUCAGACUUUGAAGAAGAGAAGACAAAUGCUGCCGGGAGAGGACCGGACACAGAGGCCUCCUGCAUUCCUUUUUCUGCGUGUCGGGCUCAAGAUAAGUUUUUCCAUGAAGCAGUCCAACCCCUGUUGCUGCAAGACCUGGUUUUGUGUGGGUUUUUUUUUUUCCUUAAACAAGUCAGUAAACUCACUGGAACUUCUGUCGAGUCUGGUGACUGUAUACAUGGGUGCAAAUUUAACUUGACACGUUACUUUCUUUCUAGAAAACAAUUUAUAUUCAAACAACCAUGGAAUCCCAGCAUUGAAAGGGCCUUAGCAGCCAUCCAGCCCAAACACCAAGUUUCCCAGAGCAGCUGAGCCGAGGUCCCAGAGUUAGAUAUUUCUCAUGUCCCUCUGAACAUCAUCAGAUUGAGGGGACUGAGACCCAGAGGCUCCGCGAGGAGAGUUUGAAUCAGGCCAGUUGGGUUCCAUCGCCUACAAGCCUCUACACUCUGUCAGUCAUCCCACGCGACUAGAACAUUUGGACAAACUCAAGAAAAAAGCAGGGGGGAAAUAACUUUUAAAAAGAGAUUA
Long non-coding RNA from Myotis davidii, 793 nucleotides. RefSeq lists it as uncharacterized. The record is from RefSeq and is a predicted model, not a curated record. NCBI's taxonomy places the organism in Eukaryota, Metazoa, Chordata, Mammalia, Chiroptera, Vespertilionidae. The transcript has 3 exons.